Massospora cicadina is the source of this 75-nucleotide non-coding RNA. NCBI's taxonomy places the organism in Eukaryota, Fungi, Entomophthoromycota, Entomophthoromycetes, Entomophthorales, Entomophthoraceae. The record is from the annotation of a GenBank genome assembly.
AUAAAUAUAGUGUAAUAGUUAGCACACAGGAUUUUGACUCCUGUAAUCUGAGUUUGAUCCUCAAUAUGACCUAAA